AAAUUGGGGGCACGGAGGGAGUGGAAUUUAGGAUGGCGUUGCAACCGUUAAACAGAAACCCUAGAAACUGAUAUAUUCAUAUCAAUUAUCAAAGAUCGAAUUGCCGGAGAAAGGAUCAGGGCCGAAUAGAUGGAGAGGAUUGUUGCCAAAAAGUAUAAGCUAGGUCGAAAGAUCGGUAGUGGAUCCUUCGGUGAAAUCUUCCUCGCUACUAAUAUUAAUACAUUGGAGGUCGUUGCUGUUAAAAUUGAGAGUAGAAAGACAAAGCACCCUCAGUUACUUUACGAGGCAAAGGUGUAUAACAUUCUCCGUGGCGGCGCUGGUAUUGCAAACAUAAGAUGGUGUGGCAUAGAUGGAGAAAACAAUGCUCUUGUUCUUGACCUCUUAGGACCAAGUCUAGAAGAUUUGUUUGUGUAUUGUGGUAGAAAGUUUUCACUGAAAUCUGUUUUAAUGCUCGCUGAUCAAAUGCUCACAAGAAUUGAGUAUGUUCAUGCCAAAGGGUAUUUGCAUAGAGACAUUAAACCAGAUAAUUUUCUGAUGGGUCUUGGUCGGAAAGCAACUCAGGUUUACCUUAUUGAUUUUGGACUUGCAAAAAGAUAUCGAGAUACAGGCUCUCACCGUCAUAUCCCAUACAGAGAGAACAAGAAUCUAACGGGAACUGCACGAUAUGCAAGCUGCAACACUCAUUCGGGUGUUGAGCAAAGCCGUCGUGAUGACUUGGAGUCACUUGGCUAUGUUUUACUGUAUUUCUUGAAAGGAAGCCUUCCAUGGCAAGGUCUAAAAGCUCCAACAAAGAAGCAGAAAUAUGACAAAAUUCGAGAGAAGAAGCUAGCAACUCCGAUUGACGUUCUAUGCAAGUCCCACCCGAUCGAGUUUGCAUCUUACUUCCACUAUUGCCAUUCUUUAAAAUUUGAUAUGCGGCCUGAUUAUGGAUUCUUGAAGCGUCUCUUCCGUGAUUUGUUCACCUGUGAAGGUUAUGAGAGUGAUAAUGUAUUUGACUGGACCAUCUUGAAGUAUCAACAAUCAUCAAAGACAAACCUGAUGGACUCUAGUUUGCAGCCAGUCUCUGGAAUGACCAGCACAAGAGUGUCUCCAGGCGACAAGCAUCACAGAGGUUAUGCCAAUGAACACGAAGGAUCAAGUAACCUGAUGUGUCCAGACGACCACAUGAACUUCAGUUCAGGAUUAGCGCACAAUUUGAUUGCAGAUAAAUCACUGGAUAAGAAUAACUUUCCAAAAACAGAAGACCUUGCUGCUGCAGCUAUUGAUCAGGAACUUGAUGACAAAGCUGUGGCGUCAAACAAUUGGAUGCAAUGAGUGCAUUGUAAUUGCUCAACUAAGUGAACCGAUGUGGAAGUGAAGCAGCAUUCUAGGGAUGGCAUAGCAGAUUCACCAGUAAAAUGGAGUUAUUUAUAGGUUCUAUCUGUACCAGAUCACAGAAUGUAUUUCUCCAGGUGACUCCGAGCAUGACCAUGCUAAAGAUUUUCAUAUAGAAGGGUUUUCAAACUAUUAAUCAUGAUGGGACCAUACUGGAGUCUGGAAGUCUUAAUGUCAAAUCAAUCUGGUUUUUAAAAGGAAACUGAAAACUAUCCAGCAAUUGGAUGUGGAGCAAUCUGCCCUGCAGCUAAUGAGGUGCUAUGGGUAUAUGAGACGAUCAAUUAGAUGGUGAUUUUUUCAUGUGGUUUUAAGUUUCUGACUUGUAAUUAGUAAAGGGUAAAGGAGGUGGAACUUCACUUUCAGAACCAGCGCUAAUUGCACAAUUGUCUCCAUUUGACAUGUGAAGCUUGCUUUUUUUCCUGAAAAUUGACAAUAUCCUGUAAAAAUAUACAUUGUAAAUUUUGAAGUAUGAGCAGAAAAAGUUAUUAUAAUUA
RNA transcript from Daucus carota subsp. sativus, 1868 nucleotides. It is a transcript of the gene named casein kinase 1-like protein 4, with no coding region annotated. Lineage: Eukaryota; Viridiplantae; Streptophyta; Magnoliopsida; Apiales; Apiaceae. The transcript is spliced from 17 exons. The record is from RefSeq and is a predicted model, not a curated record.